AUUGCUUCUUGGCCUUUUGGCUAAGAUUGAGUGUAGUAUUGUUCUUAUCAGUUUAAUAUAUUUUGGAUACUAGACCUUUAUUCGACAUGUCAUUUGCAACUAUC
This 104-nucleotide small nuclear RNA is filed under the name Suricata suricatta (meerkat). Its description in RNAcentral is "U2 spliceosomal RNA (ENSSSUG00005003107.1)". It matches the Rfam family "U2 spliceosomal RNA". Rfam says of the family: U2 is a small nuclear RNA (snRNA) component of the spliceosome (involved in pre-mRNA splicing). Complementary binding between U2 snRNA (in an area lying towards the 5' end but 3' to hairpin I) and the branchpoint sequence (BPS) of the intron results the bulging out of an unpaired adenosine, on the BPS, which initiates a nucleophilic attack at the intronic 5' splice site, thus starting the first of two transesterification reactions that mediate splicing. The record is from Rfam by way of RNAcentral. Lineage: Eukaryota; Metazoa; Chordata; Mammalia; Carnivora; Herpestidae.